This 22-nucleotide microRNA is filed under the name Bombyx mori (domestic silkworm). RNAcentral's name for it is "bmo-miR-3223-5p". Lineage: Eukaryota; Metazoa; Arthropoda; Insecta; Lepidoptera; Bombycidae. The record is from miRBase by way of RNAcentral.
UACCUUUUACCUUUACCACAGA